UCUGUGGAGAAUUAUAUAAAACUAAAGUAAUAGAAAUAUGAAAUAGGAUUCUUUGAAACAGAAA
This 64-nucleotide non-coding RNA is filed under the name unclassified sequences. The record is from Rfam.